Molecule: ribosomal RNA, 653 nt
Filed under: uncultured archaeon
Lineage: Archaea
Description: bacterial SSU rRNA
Rfam family: Archaeal small subunit ribosomal RNA
Source: RNAcentral
GCCUAAAGGGGCCGUAGCCGGUUUGGUCAGUCCUCCGGGAAAUCUGACGGCUUAACCGUUAGGCUUUCGGGGGAUACUGCCAGACUUGGAACCGGGAGAGGUAAGAGGUACUACAGGGGUAGGAGUGAAAUCUUGUAAUCCCUGUGGGACCACCUGUGGCGAAGGCGUCUUACCAGAACGGGUUCGACGGUGAGGGACGAAAGCUGGGGGCACGAACCGGAUUAGAUACCCGGGUAGUCCCAGCCGUAAACGAUGCUCGCUAGGUGUCAGGCAUGGCGCGACCGUGUCUGGUGCCGCAGGGAAGCCGUGAAGCGAGCCACCUGGGAAGUACGGCCGCAAGGCUGAAACUUAAAGGAAUUGGCGGGGGAGCACAACAACGGGUGGAGCCUGCGGUUUAAUUGGACUCAACGCCGGACAACUCGCCGGGGGCGACAGCAAUAUGUAGGUCAGGCUGAAGACCUUGCCUGAAUCGCUGAGAGGAGGUGCAUGGCCGUCGCCAGUUCGUACUGUGAAGCAUCCUGUUAAGUCAGGCAACGAGCGAGACCCGUGCCCACUGUUGCCAGCAUGUCCUCCGGGACGAUGGGUACUCUGUGGGGACCGCCGGUGUUAAAUCGGAGGAAGGUGCGGGCCACGGUAGGUCCGUAUGCCCCUAA